This 468-nucleotide ribosomal RNA is filed under the name uncultured bacterium. Its description in RNAcentral is "partial 16S ribosomal RNA". It matches the Rfam family "Bacterial small subunit ribosomal RNA", at positions 28 to 507 of the family's 1533-position model. The record is from RNAcentral.
GACGAACGCUGGCGGCGUGCUUAACACAUUCAAGUCGAACGGAAAGGCCCUGCUUUUGUGGGGUGCUCGAGUGGCGAACGGGUGAGUAACACGUGAGUAACCUGCCCUUGACUUUGGGAUAACUUCAGGAAACUGGGGCUAAUACCGGAUAGGAGCUCCUUCUGCAUGGUGGGGGUUGGAAAGUUUCGGCGGUUGGGGAUGGACUCGCGGCUUAUCAGCUUGUUGGUGGGGUAGUGGCUUACCAAGGCUUUGACGGGUAGCCGGCCUGAGAGGGUGACCGGCCACAUUGGGACUGAGAUACGGCCCAGACUCAUACGGGAGGCAGCAGUGAGGAAGAUUGAAAAAUGGGAGGAAGCCAGAUGAAGCGACGCCGCGUGCGGGAUGACGGCCUUCGGGUUGUAAACCGCUGUCGUGUGUGACGAAGCGUGAGUGACGGUAAUGGGUAAAGAAGCACCGGCUAACUACGUG